GCCCUGAUCUUCGUCAGGGGUGGGGAGUGUGCCUCCGGAGCAGAAGGUCGCAGGUUCGAAUCCUGUCCGGGGCACCA
This 77-nucleotide transfer RNA is filed under the name Actinomyces oris. Its description in RNAcentral is "tRNA-Arg". Lineage: Bacteria; Bacillati; Actinomycetota; Actinomycetes; Actinomycetales; Actinomycetaceae. The record is from RNAcentral.